CAGGGACGAAGAAAGUGACGGUGCCUGACGAAUAAGCUCCGGCUAACUACGUGCCAGCAGCCGCGGUAAUACGUAGGGAGCGAGCGUUGUCCGGAUUUUCUGGGUGUAAAGGGUGCGUAGGCGGCCGAGCAAGUCAGUUGUGAAAACUAUGGGCUUAACCCAUAACGUGCAAUUGAAACUGUCCGGCUUGAGUGAAGUAGAGGUAGGCGGAAUUCCCGGUGUAGCGGUGAAAUGCGUAGAGAUCGGGAGGAACACCAGUGGCGAAGGCGGCCUACUGGGCUUUAACUGACGCUGAGGCACGAAAGCAUGGGUAGCACCCAGAAUUAGAUCCCCUGGAAGUCCACGCGAUAAACGAUGGAAACUAGGUGUAGGGAAGCUUAGCUUCUCGGUGCCGUCGCAAACGCAGUAAGUAUUCCACCUGGGGAGUACGAUCGCAAGAAUGAAACUCAAAGGAAUUGACGGGGACCCGCACAAGCGGUGGAGCAUGUGGUUUAAUUAGAAAGCAACGCGAAGAACCUUACCAAGUCUUGACAUCCUUAUGACCGGUACUUAACCGUACUUUCUCUUCGGAGCAGGAGUGACAGGUGGUGCAUGGUUGUCGUCAGCUCGUGUCGUGAGAUGUUGGGUUAAGUCCCGCAACGAGCGCAACCCUUAUCUUUAGUAGCCAGCGGUCCGGCCGGGCACUCUAGAGAGACUGCCAGGGAUAACCUGGAGGAAGGCGGGGAUGACGUCAAAUCAUCAUGCCCCUUAUGACUUGGGCUACACACGUGCUACAAUGGCGUAAACAAAGGGAAGCAAAGCUGUGAAGCCGAGCAAAUCUCAAAAAUAACGUCUCAGUUCGGACUGUAGUCUGCAACCCGACUACACGAAGCUGGAAUCGCUAGUAAUCGCAGAUCAGAAUGCUGCGGUGAAUACGUUCCCGGGCCUUGUACACACCGCCCGUCA
This 945-nucleotide ribosomal RNA is filed under the name uncultured bacterium. RNAcentral's name for it is "bacterial SSU rRNA". It matches the Rfam family "Bacterial small subunit ribosomal RNA", at positions 440 to 1399 of the family's 1533-position model. The record is from RNAcentral.